CCAAGCAUAUUAUUAUAUCAGAGAGUCCAGAGAAUGACAAAAUUACACAGAAGGAUGACAAAAGCUAAAAAAUCAGCAAAAGUAAUCUUUUGUCACAAUACAAUACAACAAUAUGCAGGAGAUUUAAGGAAAUCAGUUGGAUUCACAAAGGGUUUUCUUAUGAAGAUGUGUGUGCCACCCACAGCUCUAAUACACUAAGGAAACCAAAUGGCAUAUUUUUUAAAGAAUCCUGAUGUCAGUUAUUCAACUUCUGUUUCUGGUAUUGGGAGUUUAAUGUAACUGAGCCAACUUCUCUAGCAAUCACAAGACAAACUCUACUAAUUACAACAGAAACCAUGCACCUUGAAAUGCCAAAAGCAUUGGUAAUUUUGCGAUAUCAACCUUUAUCAGAAAGGUAGUAUAAUGUGAUCACAACAUGCAUCUCCACAGAUAGUGGCUUCCUCGUGUUUGUUACUUGUCUGGUUGACCAUGGCCUAACUUCUUCACA
Molecule: non-coding RNA, 487 nt
Organism: Rhopilema esculentum
Lineage: Eukaryota; Metazoa; Cnidaria; Scyphozoa; Rhizostomeae; Rhizostomatidae
Source: RefSeq, a predicted model, not a curated record